UAAUCGGGGUUGCGGACAGUGUCUGGUGGGUAGUUUGACUGGGGCGGUCUCCUCCUAAAGAGUAACGGAGGAGCACGAAGGUUGGCUAAUCCUGGUCGGACAUCAGGAGGUUAGUGCAAUGGCAUAAGCCAGCUUGACUGCGAGCGUGACGGCGCGAGCAGGUGCGAAAGCAGGUCAUAGUGAUCCGGUGGUUCUGAAUGGAAGGGCCAUCGCUCAACGGAUAAAAGGUACUCCGGGGAUAACAGGCUGAUACCGCCCAAGAGUUCAUAUCGACGGCGGUGUUUGGCACCUCGAUGUCGGCUCAUCACAUCCUGGGGCUGAAGUAGGUCCCAAGGGUAUGGCUGUUCGCCAUUUAAAGUGGUACGCGAGCUGGGUUUAGAACGUCGUGAGACAGUUCGGUCCCUAUCUGCCGUGGGCGCUGGAGAACUGAGGGGGGCUGCUCCUAGUACGAGAGGACCGGAGUGGACGCAUCACUGGUGUUCGGGUUGUCAUGCCAAUGGCACUGCCCGGUAGCUAAAUGCGGAAGAGAUAAGUGCUGAAAGCAUCUAAGCACGAAACUUGCCCCGAGAUGAGUUCUCCCUGA
This 583-nucleotide ribosomal RNA is filed under the name Escherichia coli. Its description in RNAcentral is "partial 23S ribosomal RNA". It matches the Rfam family "Bacterial large subunit ribosomal RNA", at positions 2236 to 2818 of the family's 2925-position model. Lineage: Bacteria; Pseudomonadati; Pseudomonadota; Gammaproteobacteria; Enterobacterales; Enterobacteriaceae. The record is from RNAcentral.